ACAGCAGUAGCCGCGGUAAUACGAAGGGGGCUAGCGUUGCUCGGAAUGACUGGGCGUAAAGGGCGCGUAGGCGGUUCGUACAGUCGGAUGUGAAAUUCCUGGGCUUAACCUGGGGGCUGCAUUCGAUACGUGCGGGCUUGAGUGUGGAAGAGGGUUGUGGAAUUCCCAGUGUAGAGGUGAAAUUCGUAGAUAUUGGGAAGAACACCGGUGGCGAAGGCGGCGACCUGGUCUUUUACUGACGCUGAGGCGCGAAAGCGUGGGGAGCAAACAGGAUUAGAUACCCCCGUAGUCCCUGUCUCUUAUAC
RNAcentral lists this ribosomal RNA (305 nucleotides) under uncultured bacterium. Its description in RNAcentral is "partial 16S ribosomal RNA". It matches the Rfam family "Bacterial small subunit ribosomal RNA", at positions 508 to 807 of the family's 1533-position model. The record is from RNAcentral.